GACGAACGCUGGCGGCGUGCUUAACACAUGCAAGUCGAACGGAAAGGCCCUGCUUUUGUGGGGUGCUCGAGUGGCGAACGGGCGAGUAACACGUGAGUAACCUGCCCUUGACUUUGGGAUAACUUCAGGAAACUGGGGCUAAUACCGGAUAGGAGCUCCUGCUGCAUGGUGGGGGUUGGAAAGUUUCGGCGGUUGGGGAUGGACUCGCGGCUUAUCAGCUUGUUGGUGGGGUAGUGGCUUACCAAGGCUUUGACGGGCAGCCGGCCUGAGAGGGUGACCGGCCACAUUGGGACUGAGAGACGGCCCAGACUCCUACGGGAGGCAGCAGUGGGGAAUAUUGCACAAUGGGCGGAAGCCUGAUGCAGCAACGCCGCGUGCGGGAUGACGGCCUUCGGGUUGUAAACCGCUUUCGCCUGUGACGAAGCGUGAGUGACGGUAAUGGGUAAAGAAGCACCGGCUAACUACGUG
RNAcentral lists this ribosomal RNA (468 nucleotides) under uncultured bacterium. Its description in RNAcentral is "partial 16S ribosomal RNA". It matches the Rfam family "Bacterial small subunit ribosomal RNA", at positions 28 to 507 of the family's 1533-position model. The record is from RNAcentral.